RNAcentral lists this ribosomal RNA (676 nucleotides) under Salmonella enterica. RNAcentral's name for it is "partial 23S ribosomal RNA". It matches the Rfam family "Bacterial large subunit ribosomal RNA", at positions 1166 to 1757 of the family's 2925-position model. Lineage: Bacteria; Pseudomonadati; Pseudomonadota; Gammaproteobacteria; Enterobacterales; Enterobacteriaceae. The record is from RNAcentral.
GAAGAUGUAACGGGGCUAAACCAUGCACCGAAGCUGCGGCAGCGAACGUAUCACCCAAGACAACUUUACGGAGUUGACGAUUGACGGAGCGAAGCGACGUCAAAGCGUUCAUUAAAGUCGAGUUGGCUUAGGGAUACGUUCGUUGGGUAGGGGAGCGUUCUGUAAGCCUGUGAAGGUGGCCUGUGAGGGUUGCUGGAGGUAUCAGAAGUGCGAAUGCUGACAUAAGUAACGAUAAAGCGGGUGAAAAGCCCGCUCGCCGGAAGACCAAGGGUUCCUGUCCAACGUUAAUCGGGGCAGGGUGAGUCGACCCCUAAGGCGAGGCCGAAAGGCGUAGUCGAUGGGAAACGGGUUAAUAUUCCCGUACUUGGUGUUACUGCGAAGGGGGGACGGAGAAGGCUAUGUUGGCCGGGCGACGGUUGUCCCGGUUUAAGCGUGUAGGUGUGUGUUCCAGGUAAAUCCGGUUCACUUUAACACUGAGGCGUGAUGACGAGGCACUACGGUGCUGAAGCAACAAAUGCCCUGCUUCCAGGAAAAGCCUCUAAGCAUCAGGUAACAUCAAAUCGUACCCCAAACCGACACAGGUGGUCAGGUAGAGAAUACCAAGGCGCUUGAGAGAACUCGGGUGAAGGAACUAGGCAAAAUGGUGCCGUAACUUCGGGAGAAGGCACGCUGACAC